Long non-coding RNA from Papilio machaon (common yellow swallowtail), 1043 nucleotides. RefSeq lists it as uncharacterized. NCBI's taxonomy places the organism in Eukaryota, Metazoa, Arthropoda, Insecta, Lepidoptera, Papilionidae. The transcript is spliced from 2 exons. The record is from RefSeq and is a predicted model, not a curated record.
UCAACGAAUUACUUGAUAUUACAAAUAUUUUCUUGUUCCCCUCCGAUUUGUUAUAUCGAGGUUGCACUGUAUUAAGCUUUACAUAUUUGUUUUUUUAGUUGCCUAACAACCCUCAAGAGUGGUUAAUGAUGUCUGAUGCAUUCGACGAGUUAUGGAACUUUCCGCAUUGUAGCGGCGCAGUGGAUGGAAAACAUGUAGUUUUACAGGCGCAUGUUAAUAGUGAUACCGAAUUUUACAACUAUAAGGGCCAUUUCAGUAUCGUGUUAUAUGUUUUGGCCGAUGCUAAUUACAAGAUUAGGUUUGUCGAUGUCGGUUGUCAGGGCCGAAUAUCGGAUAGGGGAGUAUGUCAGGGGAACGUCCCUAUUAAGAGUAGGGUCAUUGCACUAUGGUUUUUCUUUUUGGUUACAAAAAAUGUUUAACAAAACUAAACUGUGUAUUUUAAUAAAUAAUAUUAAUAACUGUUUAUGGGCCCAGGCUGCCCAGAGAGAACAGUGCAUAAAAGAAUAAAAAAAACAAAAUGAAUAACCCAGAAGAAAAUACAGAAAAACUUACGAACUCUGACAAUUUCCAGAUUUGGAAAUUUGUGUUAACUAUACAUAUUUCGGCAUCGAAUCUGUCGGAAGUGUUGAAAGAAACAGACCCAGAACGGAGAGAAAAACCAGAAUUCCAAACUAAGGAUGCUAAGGUAAAGAAAUUGAUAUUGAACUCCAUAGAUAGAAAACUAAAAGGUCACAUCAUAAAUUGCAAAAAUGCACAUGAAAUGUACAAUAAGCUAUGUGCAGUAUUUGAAGGAUCUGAAGAAAAAAACCAGUCUUCCUUAUUACAAGAUUUCUUUAACUUCAAAUUUGAAAACCAGAUAAUGUUACAGUUGAUCACAGAUAUAGAAAACUUGAGAAUGAGAUUAAAUAAUCUUAACCAACACAUUGAUGAUGACAUGGUGAUAUCAAAAAUAUUAACCUGCUUACCAAAUCAAUAAAUUCUUCAUCACAGCAUGGGAAUCAAAACCCGAUGUCAAAAAGACACUUACCAACUUAACUAUCAGA